UUGUGCCAGGGCCGCCUUGGUACCGUGUUAGGCCCCGCGUCAAUCAUCCAAACAUCAACAGAGCGAAGAGGAAACAGUCGGUACAGUACACUCCGGCCUCAACACCCCCAAAAUAUCCGCUCUUUUGUGUGGGAGUGUGCUAUCCACGUGUCUAUAUCGUCCUGUUGAUUUUCACAGGGCCUUGCUGUUUCCCCUCCGGCUCCUGUUCCUCAGUGUGUGCGUCUUGCGAGAGUCUUCCACAUCUGGGCUUCAGACAACAUGGCUACAGCCCUCAGGGUCUGAGACCUGAGCUGUCAGCGUCUCAUCCAAACCUGCAGAGGUUCACACAGGAAACUUCUGACUUGAUUAUGAUGGGUUAGCAGCAUGCUGAAGUCACCAUGUUACCAGAGGGAGUGACCAGACUGCUGACUGGGGGAAGGGAAACAUGGCUGGUGCUGUUGCUAGGCGUGGUCCUCUGCAUCGGGCUGGACGUUGCCGGGGGAGACAGUUGCCCUGCCGACCGGAAACCUGUGGUCUCAUAUGAAGACUUGUCCCCCCUGCA
Molecule: long non-coding RNA, 541 nt
Organism: Branchiostoma floridae (Florida lancelet)
Lineage: Eukaryota; Metazoa; Chordata; Leptocardii; Amphioxiformes; Branchiostomatidae
Exons: 4
Source: RefSeq, a predicted model, not a curated record